CUAUCUCAAAUGUAGUGGCAUUCUGAGGUGCUGGGAGUUAACGCUUCAACAAAUGAAUUUGAGGAGGAAAAGGACACAGUUCAGCCCAUAGCAGAACAAUUUAUCUGAAAGAAAUUACCUGCUUCUUGAAAAUGUGAAAGCUGUAAAGUUGCCCAGGUGAGCGUGGUUCUGGCAGUCUCUGGUGUCUGGAGAGAAAAAGGUAGGAUCUAAACAACUUCCAACCAACCCUGAGGGGGUCAGAGAGGUAUAAUCAGCAGUAGGACUGUCGUAAAUCACAAUGAAGUAAAUGAUAACACAACCAUAGGCUUACCAUGCCUUGCAAAUAAG
This 327-nucleotide long non-coding RNA is filed under the name Pan troglodytes (chimpanzee). Its description in RNAcentral is "long non-coding RNA NONPTRT015003". The record is from RNAcentral. Lineage: Eukaryota; Metazoa; Chordata; Mammalia; Primates; Hominidae.